This 1423-nucleotide ribosomal RNA is filed under the name metagenome. RNAcentral's name for it is "bacterial SSU rRNA". It matches the Rfam family "Archaeal small subunit ribosomal RNA". The record is from RNAcentral.
UGCCGGAGGUCACUGCUAUUGGAAUUCGAUUAAGACAUGCUUGUCGCGAGUCUUCGGGACUCGGCGGACGGCUUAGUAACACACGGUUAACCUGCCCUAAGGUGGGGGAUAACUUCGGGAAACUGAGGAUAAUACCCCAUAGAUAAUAGAUGCUGGAAUGCACUGUUAUUGAAAGAUUUAUCGCCUUAGGAUGGAACCGUGGCCUAUCAGGUUGUUGGUGGGGUAACGGCCCACCAAGCCAGCGACGGGUACGGGCUUUGAGAGAAGUAGCCCGGAGUUGGGGACUGAGACAAGGCCCCAGGCCCUACGGGGUGCAGCAGUUGCGAAACUUUCACAAUGCACGAAAGUGUGAUGAAGGGAUUCCAAGUGCCUGUCCACUGGGCAGGCUUUUCUCGAGCUUAGAAAGCUCGGGGAAUAAGGGCUGGGCAAGACCGGUGCCAGCAGCCGCGGUAACACCGGCGGCUCGAGUGGUGGCCAUUAUUACUGGGUUUAAAGCGUUUGUAGCCGGACAUGUAGAUCCUUGGUGAAAUUGGCAGGCUUAACCUGUCAGCGUGCCGAGGAUAUCGCUUGUCUAGGGACCGGAAGAGGGCAACGGUACUGUCAGGGUAGAAGUGAAAUUCUAUAAUCCUUACAGGACCGCCAGUAGCGAAGGCGGUUGUCCAGGACGGGUUCGACGGUGAGAGACGAAACCUAGGGUAGCGAACGGGAUUAGAUACCCCGGUAGUCCUAGGCGUAAACGAUGCUUGCUAGAUGUCGCAAGUAUUACGAAUAAUUGCGGUGUCGAAGGGAAACCGUUAAGCAAGCCACCUGGGGAGUACGGUCGCAAGUCUGAAACUUAAAGGAAUUGGCGGGGGGGCACCACAAGGGGUGAAGCGUGCGGUUUAAUUGGAUUCAACGCCGGAAAACUCACCAGGGCCGACGGCAGAAUGAUGUUCAGGCUGAUGGUCUUAACAAACAAGCCGAGAGGAGGUGCAUGGCCGCCGACAGCUCGUGUCGUGAGAUGUCCUGUUAAGUCAGGCAACGAGCGAGACCGUCGCUCUCAGUUGCUAAUUUCUUCUCUGGAAGAAAUGCACACUGUGAGGACUGCAUGGGCUAACCAUGAGGAAGGAGGCGGCGACGGUAGGUCAGUAUGCCCCGAAUGCCUUGGGCUACACGCGUGCUGCAAUGGUCGAGACAAUGGGAUGCUACCCUGAAAAGGGACGCUAACCCCCUAAACUUGAUCGUAGUUCGGAUCGAGAACUGCAAUUCGUUCUCGUGAAGCUGGAAUCCCCAGUAAUCGCACUUCAUUAUAGUGCGGUGAAUACGUCCCUGCUCCUUGCACACACCGCCCGUCAAACCAGCCGAGUGAGCUUUUGGCGAGGCGCUCUCAUUAUGGGAGUGACGAACCAGGAGUUCGCAAGGGGGGUUAAGUCGUAACAAGGUA